CCCCAAAUUUUCCCACUUUCUCCCCCUUUUGACCCCAAUUUCCCCACUUUUGACCCCAAUUUUCCCCCUUCUGACCCAAAUUUUCCCCCUUCUGACUCAGAUUUCCCCACUUUUUUCCACUUUUGACUCAGAUUUUCCCCCCUUUUGACCCCAAUUUCCCCACUUUUUCCCCCUUCUGACCCAAUUUUUCCCCCUUUUGACCCCAAUUUCCCCCUUUUGACUCCAAUUUCCCCACUUCUGCCUUAGAUUUCCCCACUUUUGAUUCCAAUUUCCCCCCUUUUGACUCAGAUUUUCCCCCUUUUGUCUCCAAUUUCCCCACUUUUGACCCAUAUUUUCCCCCUUUUGACUCCAAUUUCCCUCCUUUUGACCCCAAUUUUCCCACUUUUUCCCCCUUCUGACUCAGAUUUCCCCACUUUUGGCUCAGAUUUCCCCACUUUUUCCUCCUUCUGACCCCAAUUUUUCCCCUUCUGACCCCAAUUUUCCCACUUUUUUCCACUUUUGGCUCAGAUUUCCCCACUUUCUCCCACUUCUGGCUCAGAUUUCCCCACUUUUUCCCCCUUUUUCCCCAAAUUUUCCCAUUUCUGACCCAAAUUUUCCCCUUUUUUCCCCCUUUUUCCCCCACCUGUGUGCCUGUAGACACUCCUGCUGAGCGGCAGCGGCAGCUCCUCGUGCUGCACCGUGCAGGUGAACCUUUCCCCAGCCAACCAAUCCUGGGUGCUGAUGGGGACGGAGCUGCUGGCGCUGUAGGUUCCAUUAAAAUGUUCCUGGAGGACCAUGGGGUCGGGACGGAGGAUUCCGCUUUUUUCCCUGGUCCAGGUGAGGCUGAGGCUGGAAUCGCUGGGCAAGUUGACCACCAAACAUUUCAGUUUGGCAUCCAGGCCGAUGUAAAGCUCGCCUGGGCUCGGGGGGAUGGCGUAGAGUUGGAUGGGGCUGCAGCUGUGGGGGCCUGGGGGGGGUCCAGGUGAGGCUGAGGCUGGAAUCGCUGGGCAAGUUGACCACCAAACAUUUCAGUUUGGCAUCCAGGCCGAUGUAAAGCUCGCCUGGGCUCGGGGGGAUGGCGUAGAGUUGGAUGGGGCUGCAGCUGUGGGGGCCUGGGGGG
Molecule: long non-coding RNA, 1099 nt
Filed under: Chrysolophus pictus (golden pheasant)
Lineage: Eukaryota; Metazoa; Chordata; Aves; Galliformes; Phasianidae
Description: lncRNA (ENSCPIG00010005144.1)
Source: RNAcentral